Molecule: long non-coding RNA, 1630 nt
Filed under: Homo sapiens (human)
Lineage: Eukaryota; Metazoa; Chordata; Mammalia; Primates; Hominidae
Description: HSALNT0347251
Source: RNAcentral
UCUGCCUAUAGAGGCCUGGGGUCCCUUUGGCAGCACUUUUCUCAAGAAAGUAGAGUCGUGGACAACCAACUGCACAGGUUGGGAGGCUUUGAAGAACAAGCUGCCAUGAAUCCUGCAGCUACAAGGAAAUGAACUCUAUUAACUUGAGUGAGCUUAAAACUAGAUCCUUCCCCAGUCAAGCCUCCAGGUGAGAAUUCAAUCCUGGCUGGCACCUGGAUUGCAGCUUACAGAAGACCCAGCUAAGGCCAUGUCUGGACUUUAAAUCCACAGGAACUGCAAGAUGGUAUCAGAAGUGGGACCUGCAGUGGGGCAUCUAGCAACCCCCAGGAGCAUUGAGUGACCAGGCUUGGGACCCACCGGGCGCAGGGUGUCCAUUGUUCUCUCGAAGCAACUGAGAAUUGUGGAUAUUCUUCAUUAUUCCAUCAUCAUCUCAAACCUCUUGGGUAUAGUGUUUGACUACUACUGUGACCAUAAAUUCCAAUAAAACCUAGGAAAAAUGAAACCACUACAUUAACUGAAAGGAUGAAAGAAGCUUUCGUAUUUAUGUGCUGCAUGUAUUAUUCAGAAGGAAGAUGAUUCCAAGUCAUGUUAUUUCCAAGGAAGCAACAAUAACUUCACUGGACCCCUGCUGAUCUUAAAGUGCAGCAUGAAAAACAGUCUUGGAGACUUCUAGAGAUGUCCAAAGUAUGCCUACGGGGAGCAAUAGGGAUACCAGGAGAAUCUGAUGAACUAUGCCUGACAAAGGAGAGGCUCUGCUGAAUAUGGAAGGGUGUAAACAGUAGAACGAACCUGGACCAUUGAACCCCUGAAUUAUCCAACCAUCUUACUUCUGGACUUCUUAUUUUGUGACUAAAAAUUCCUUUUGAAAUGAGAGUUAUUUGUGAUUGAGAUCUGGUUUACUUAAGAGCCAAAAAACAGAUGUAUUUGCAUUUUGCCAUCAUUGGAAAUAUGCCCUUACCCAGAAUUCAUUCCAAAGUAAAGUCAGAGCAUAAGGAAAAUAGAAGUUCUCGGUGAUGCUGGCAGAGUGAAUAGAUUACAUCCAUGUUAUUAUGAGAGUCUGAAUCUGAACAUUGAAUCUGACCCUUCUGAGAGGACACUACACCACUAGAGGGAAUCAAACAGAAGAUACAAAAUUUCUGCUCUCAGUUCUACAGAAGAGGAGAAAGAGAAGGGAUUGGUCUUACUGUCUCAGCAGUGGCAGAGGGAGAAGAAAAAAGUCCAUACAUAAGUGGAUCUGCACAUUUCAAACUCAGGAGUGGAAACCCUAACUGCUGUUAGGGGGUGUUGAACAAUGACUCUUCUAAAUACUUCCUGCUGGAGAGGGGCGUUGUGUGGAGAACAGCAACUAGGUUUCCUCCUGGGGUCAAUCUAAGGGUCCUCAGAAGAACGACAUAUCCAUGUGUGCUUCCAUUUGCAGCACCAUUUGGACUUUAAUAGCUUCUAGGUAAGAGGAAACAAUUCAAGUUAUUGUAUUGAGUAUACAAGGUCCAAAUAUUAGUAGAAAACACAUGAGCAAAAGGGGGACUAAUAAAGGAGCUAACCAGUACUGUAAAGAAGACCGGAAUCCAUUAAGGAGGGAUUGUAGCCACCUGGGGCUAGAGGCAUGGUGCCUCACGCCUGUAAUCCCAGA